RNAcentral lists this ribosomal RNA (497 nucleotides) under uncultured bacterium. Its description in RNAcentral is "partial 16S ribosomal RNA". It matches the Rfam family "Bacterial small subunit ribosomal RNA", at positions 28 to 507 of the family's 1533-position model. The record is from RNAcentral.
GAUGAACGCUGGCGGCGUGCCUAAUACAUGCAAGUCGAGCGAACAGACGAGGAGCUUGCUCCUCUGACGUUAGCGGCGGACGGGUGAGUAACACGUGGAUAACCUACCUAUAAGACUGGGAUAACUUCGGGAAACCGGAGCUAAUACCGGAUAAUAUAUUGAACCGCAUGGUUCAAUAGUUAAAGAAGGUUUUGCUGUCACUUAUAGAUGGAUCCGCGCCGCAUUAGCUAGUUGGUAAGGUAACGGCUUACCAAGGCAACGAUGCGUAGCCGACCUGAGAGGGUGAUCGGCCACACUGGAACUGAGACACGGUCCAGACUCCUACGGGAGGCAGCAGUAGGGAAUCUUCCGCAAUGGGCGAAAGCUUGACGGAGCAACGCCGCGUGAGUGAUGAAGGUCUUCGGAUCGUAAAACUCUGUUAUUAGGGAAGAACAAAUGUGUAAGUAACUAUGCACGUCUUGACGGUACCUAAUCAGAAAGCCACGGCUAACUACGUG